CUAAUACAUGCAAGUCGAACGCUUUGUGGUUCAACUGAUUUGAAGAGCUUGCUCAGAUAUGACGAUGGACAUUGCAAAGAGUGGCGAACGGGUGAGUAACACGUGGGAAACCUACCUCUUAGCAGGGGAUAACAUUUGGAAACAGAUGCUAAUACCGUAUAACAAUAGCAACCGCAUGGUUGCUACUUAAAAGAUGGUUCUGCUAUCACUAAGAGAUGGUCCCGCGGUGCAUUAGUUAGUUGGUGAGGUAAUGGCUCACCAAGACGAUGAUGCAUAGCCGAGUUGAGAGACUGAUCGGCCACAAUGGGACUGAGACACGGCCCAUACUCCUACGGGAGGCAGCAGUAGGGAAUCUUCCACAAUGGGCGAAAGCCUGAUGGAGCAACGCCGCGUGUGUGAUGAAGGGUUUCGGCUCGUAAAACACUGUUGUAAGAGAAGAAUGACAUUGAGAGUAACUGUUCAAUGUGUGACGGUAUCUUACCAGAAAGGAACGGCUAAAUACGUGCCAGCAGCCGCGGUAAUACGUAUGUUCCAAGCGUUAUCCGGAUUUAUUGGGCGUAAAGCGAGCGCAGACGGUUAUUUAAGUCUGAAGUGAAAGCCCUCAGCUCAACUGAGGAAUUGCUUUGGAAACUGGAUGACUUGAGUGCAGUAGAGGAAAGUGGAACUCCAUGUGUAGCGGUGAAAUGCGUAGAUAUAUGGAAGAACACCAGUGGCGAAGGCGGCUUUCUGGACUGUAACUGACGUUGAGGCUCGAAAGUGUGGGUAGCAAACAGGAUUAGAUACCCUGGUAGUCCACACCGUAAACGAUGAGUGCUAGGUGUUUGAGGGUUUCCGCCCUUAAGUGCCGCAGCUAACGCAUUAAGCACUCCGC
This 871-nucleotide ribosomal RNA is filed under the name Weissella cibaria. Its description in RNAcentral is "bacterial SSU rRNA". It matches the Rfam family "Bacterial small subunit ribosomal RNA", at positions 48 to 872 of the family's 1533-position model. The record is from RNAcentral. Lineage: Bacteria; Bacillati; Bacillota; Bacilli; Lactobacillales; Lactobacillaceae.